This 312-nucleotide long non-coding RNA is filed under the name Malus domestica (apple). RNAcentral describes it as "long non-coding RNA (MDOM_LNC016156)". Lineage: Eukaryota; Viridiplantae; Streptophyta; Magnoliopsida; Rosales; Rosaceae. The record is from RNAcentral.
UUGGGCAUCUUCUUUGGUGGCCGACAAAAGCCAUCAUUAAGUAUAUCAACUUGACUCUUUGUUUGAAAAGCAUAUCUCGGGGAAGUCGAGAUCGGUGAAGUUGAGAUCGGUGAGUGAUAUUCCUUAAGGGUCACCAAGGUCUGCGCCCGCAACAUCAAUGCUCCAGUGUGAUUGUAAUCAAGUUCAAGAACUGAGGUACAUUCAUCUGCUGCCUUUUUGAAAUCAUGGAGCUUCAAGAAGCAAGCAGCUUGUCAUCCCCGUAAUCAGCCGAGUCAAAAUACACAUCGUCGUUUCCUAACAGCCCGUUAAGCG